This 1470-nucleotide ribosomal RNA is filed under the name metagenome. Its description in RNAcentral is "bacterial SSU rRNA". It matches the Rfam family "Bacterial small subunit ribosomal RNA". The record is from RNAcentral.
AGAGUUUGAUCCUGGCUCAGGACGAACGCUGGCGGCACGCUUAACACAUGCAAGUCGAACGAGAGAAGAGGAGCUUGCUUUUCUGAUCUAGUGGCGGACGGGAGAGUAACACGUGAGCAAUCUGCCUUUCAGAGGGGGAUACCGAUUGGAAACGAUCGUUAAUACCGCAUAACAUAAUUGAACCGCAUGAUUUGAUUAUCAAAGAUUUAUCGCUGAAAGAUGAGCUCGCGUCUGAUUAGCUAGUUGGUAAGGUAACGGCUUACCAAGGCGACGAUCAGUAGCCGGACUGAGAGGUUGAUCGGCCACAUUGGUACUGAGACACGGCCCAGACUCCUACGGGAGGCAGCAGUGGGGAAUAUUGCACAAUGGAGGAAACUCUGAUGCAGCGAUGCCGCGUGAGGGAAGAAGGUUUUAGGAUUGUAAACCUCUGUCUUCAGGGACGAAAAAAGACGGUACCUGAGGAGGAAGCUCCGGCUAACUACGUGCCAGCAGCCGCGGUAAUACGUAGGGAGCGAGCGUUGUCCGGAAUUACUGGGUGUAAAGGGAGCGUAGGCGGGAUCGCAAGUCAGAUGUGAAAACUAUGGGCUUAACCCAUAAACUGCAUUUGAAACUGUGGUUCUUGAGUGAAGUAGAGGUAAGCGGAAUUCCUAGUGUAGCGGUGAAAUGCGUAGAUAUUAGGAGGAACAUCAGUGGCGAAGGCGGCUUACUGGGCUUUAACUGACGCUGAGGCUCGAAAGCGUGGGGAGCAAACAGGAUUAGAUACCCUGGUAGUCCACGCCGUAAACGAUGAUUACUAGGUGUGGGGGGACUGACCCCUUCCGUGCCGCAGCAAACGCAAUAAGUAAUCCACCUGGGGAGUACGACCGCAAGGUUGAAACUCAAAGGAAUUGACGGGGGCCCGCACAAGCAGUGGAGUAUGUGGAUUAAUUCGAAACAACGCGAAGAACCUUACCAGGUCUUGACAUCGUAUGCAUAGCUCAGAGAUGAGUGAAAUCUCUUCGGAGACAUAUAGACAGGUGGUGCAUGGUUGUCGUCAGCUCGUGUCGUGAGAUGUUGGGUUAAGUCCCGCAACGAGCGCAACCCUUACUGUUAGUUGCUACGCAAGAGCACUCUAGCAGGACUGCCGUUGACAAAACGGAGGAAGGUGGGGAUGACGUCAAAUCAUCAUGCCCCUUAUGACCUGGGCCUCACACGUACUACAAUGGCUGUCAACAGAGGGAAGCAAAGCCGCGAGGUGGAGCGAACCCCUAAAAGCAGUCUUAGUUCGGAUUGUAGGCUGCAACCCGCCUACAUGAAGUCGGAAUUGCUAGUAAUCGCAGAUCAGCAUGCUGCGGUGAAUACGUUCCCGGGCCUUGUACACACCGCCCGUCACGCCAUGGGAGUCGGUAACACCCGAAGCCUGUAGUCUAACCGCAAGGAGGACGCAGUCGAAGGUGGGAUUGAUGUCUGGGGUGAAGUCGUAACAAGGUA